This is a long non-coding RNA of Vidua chalybeata, 615 nucleotides long. RefSeq lists it as uncharacterized. The record is from RefSeq and is a predicted model, not a curated record. The transcript has 3 exons. Lineage: Eukaryota; Metazoa; Chordata; Aves; Passeriformes; Viduidae.
UGUUCCUCUUACAGGUUUCCUGGAGUUCCAGUGGCCAUAAGUGUGAUCACUGUGCCAAGCUGACACUCACACUUGUCUCUUAAUCUGAGAAGUUACACUGUGAGUAGAGAGAUGCAGGAAGCAAGUUUUGGAUGGGCCAUAUGGAGCCUGGAAGCACAGUGUCUCUAUUUGAGUGAUGUACCUUUCAGCAGGGCCUGGGAGGUUAAAGAGUUGUCCUGGAUUUUGUCAGAUCACCAGUUGUUUCCAAUACUUAAAAGAAGCAAACGGCUUAGCAUUGUUAAAGGAGUCCUUAGAUGGCAAAAGGCUCAAACCCCAAUGAAAACAUAGUGGGGACUUUGGAAGCGUAUACAGUUAUUUAUUUUGGAGGUUAGUGAAGGGGAAAGAUGGAAUGAUAGAAAAGACAGAAGGCAACUUCAUCAGGAGAGCACCAAUCUAUUGUCUAUUAAAACUGAAAAGGAAGUUGCUGCGAUUGAGGUGGUAAACUAAGUCAACAACAAGAGCAGCAGAUGGGGGAAGGCAAGUGCAGAUGUUUGGCUUGGAAAAUGGAAAAGCUCAGAGAAGAACUGAUUCAUUCUUUGUGCUGAGAGGAUGCAGAAGUUUACAAAUAAUAAAUUU